RNAcentral lists this ribosomal RNA (253 nucleotides) under uncultured bacterium. Its description in RNAcentral is "partial 16S ribosomal RNA". It matches the Rfam family "Bacterial small subunit ribosomal RNA", at positions 524 to 776 of the family's 1533-position model. The record is from RNAcentral.
UACGAAGGGGGCUAGCGUUGUUCGGAAUUACUGGGCGUAAAGCGUGCGCAGGCGGCCAUCCAAGUCAGUGGUGAAAGCCCGGAGCUCAACUCCGGAAUUGCCAUUGAAACUGUUUGGCUCGAGUACGAGAGAGGUGAGUGGAAUUCCCAGUGUAGAGGUGAAAUUCGUAGAUAUUCGCAAGAACACCAGUGGCGAAGGCGGCUCACUGGCCCGAUACUGACGCUGAGGCACGAAAGCGUGGGGAGCAAACAGG